This 215-nucleotide ribosomal RNA is filed under the name Lutjanus fulviflamma (dory snapper). RNAcentral describes it as "partial 16S ribosomal RNA". The record is from RNAcentral. Lineage: Eukaryota; Metazoa; Chordata; Actinopteri; Lutjaniformes; Lutjanidae.
GCCCAACAGCUAGCCCCUCCAAUCAAAACCAACAAAUCCCCAUCAAUAACCCCCAAUACCCUUAACCACUCCCAAACAAAUCAUUUUUCCCCCCUAGUACAGGUGAUAGAAAAGGAACUGCGGAGCAAUAGAAAAAGUACCGUAAGGGAAAGCUGAAAGAGAAAUGAAACAACCCAGUAAAGCAUAUAAAAGCAGAGACUUACCCUCGUACCUUU